GGUCAGGUAGCUCAGUUGGCUAGAGCACCGGUCUGAAAAACCGGGGGUCGGCGGUUCGAUUCCGCCCCUGACCACCA
RNAcentral lists this transfer RNA (77 nucleotides) under Acidimicrobiia bacterium. Its description in RNAcentral is "tRNA-Phe". It matches the Rfam family "tRNA". Rfam says of the family: Transfer RNA (tRNA) molecules are approximately 80 nucleotides in length. Their secondary structure includes four short double-helical elements and three loops (D, anti-codon, and T loops). Lineage: Bacteria; Bacillati; Actinomycetota; Acidimicrobiia. The record is from RNAcentral.